CACGCCAGCCCUACACGCUCGUCCGGCUGAACUCAAUUUUGAGUCGCUUUAACUCAAAAUAAUAACUUCUUCAGAGACGUCAAACGCUGAGUAACUGAGAAUUAUUAUUUUGAGUUAGUUUGACUCAUUCUGUAUAAAUCGAAGCAGAACUAGAAAAUGAGUUCACAGUGAAAAUUUGAAGAAGUCCAACGGUCGCUGAUAAAACUUCACAACUAAAAUCAUAAAGCAACAAUCCAAAGUAACUGAAGUACAACUAUUCAGACAAGAUUGUAGUUUUGGGACUUUGGCGGCGCCCUCAUACACUACGUUAGAUAUCAGCAUCAGUGAUCGCUAUCUUAAGACACCCAGAUACUGUUCAAAUCCGAUAUAAAGGCUCAAAGGAGGUUUAGGAAGAGGUCCACGGUUAGAACCCUAACUAACGAUCUUUCAGCAGCCCACAGCA
Molecule: long non-coding RNA, 442 nt
Organism: Armigeres subalbatus
Lineage: Eukaryota; Metazoa; Arthropoda; Insecta; Diptera; Culicidae
Exons: 3
Source: RefSeq, a predicted model, not a curated record